RNAcentral lists this long non-coding RNA (3097 nucleotides) under Vitis vinifera (wine grape). RNAcentral's name for it is "long non-coding RNA (VVIN_LNC005303)". Lineage: Eukaryota; Viridiplantae; Streptophyta; Magnoliopsida; Vitales; Vitaceae. The record is from RNAcentral.
AGACCAGAAUUGUUCAUCAGAUUUACUUCAGUCACUCCUGAACCAGGUAUAGUUGCAUCACCAAGCAAGAAUUCUAUCACCUGCCAAGUUAUUUCUGCGUUAGUCCAUUCAUUCAUCUGUAUAAAAUGAUAAUGAAAAAAAAAAAACUUAUAUUACUAUUUUUCCAUUUUCAGCAUCUUUAUUAUGGUCAUGCUUAUCACCUUCAUCCCUUAAACAACUCUUAUUACUAUUCUUCCUUUUACUACUAAACUAUCAACUAAGGCUUGGACAUAUGUUCAACCCCACGUGCCACAGGGAUUACUUCUAGCAACACCUGAACCAACAGUUCCUUUAAUAGAUGGAUUGACCAAAAACCUCAUAACUAAACAAUAAAACGCUCGUGAAAAACCACAAUGCUGCUUAUUAACAACUUUAUAUUGCAGAAUAAUUUUAGUUUUGUUCAUUUAUUGAUGUGAAAAGAUAUUGAAACUAGGGUAGGGGCUCAAGUUCAAAUAUAACAAUAAGAGCCUCAUCCAUAAGCUAAGUUUCUACACUACUCCUUUGGUGUUUGCUCAAAUUCUAGAUUCUUUUCUUUGCUGGGUGUUGUUGUGAGUAGCGUUCAUAUUGAUGGGUCCAUGGAGCAAGGCCAGAAACCUACACGCCCAUGUUAAUUGAGUUCGAAACAACUGUAUUUUCAGCUUAAUUCUCUGAUAAGUUGAAAAGAGUGUCACUGAGUUUAGGAAGCCUGGUUUCUUGGUCCUUCUCAGAUUUGGCUGCUGAAAAUCCAUUAGUUGAUAAGCCAACUUGCUAAGGUCAAAGACUUCUCUUUUAUUUUUAUUUUCUUAAACUAAAGGGACUAUCAUCAAUCCUGGAUUAUGCCUUCAUUAAUUAAUCAAAAGCCCUUUCUAUAUGGAAUUACACUCUGUUUGCUGCAGUUUUAACUUCUAGCGCAACUCUUUUGCAAAGGCAUCUCACCCUCAGCUAUUGAAAGGAGCUUUUAGGUCUCAAACAUUCUACUUAAAAAGACAUCAGCCUUCAACCAAACAUCCUAUAAAGGCCCCCACUAAACAUGUCUUUUAAGCACAUGAAGUAGCAUAUGCAUACCUUAGUAUUGAAAAUUAGAAUACUGAAUAUCAAGUUACUUUGUAGGGUACCGCUAUAUUUUACAAUCAGUUUCGCCAAUUUGCUUCUAGAAAUAGACACAGCUCAUAAAUGUUUGUAAUUAUAAGAUUUAUGUUGCAUGUCAGUGACUGUGGAUAAAGAAAGCUAUCUGGUGAAGAAUAUACAACAUAUUCCUACAUUGAAUGCUUGAACUUGCCUGGCGUUGCUUUCUCCAGGUUGCUAGGUGAAGGAUUGUGUUGCCAUGCUCAUCCUUCAUAUUCAACACAUCCUCCCUUCUCAUCUCUCUCACCUUCUCCACCAAAACCCUAACUGCUUCAUACUGGCUGUUCUUCACAGCAAGGUGCAAAGCAAUCUCCUUUUGCACAGUCACAUCUUCAAUACACUCUUUACAAGCUGAGAGAAUUACCCGAACAACAUUGACCUUCCCUUUCAUAGCUGCACAGUGAAGUGGAGUCUUUUCAUCUCUUCCUUCUAGAUGACAGUUUCCAAUCAAAUUUCAGUAGCUCCAUCACAACCUCUUGGUGUCCAUUGGCUGCUGCCAUGUGGAUGGGGCUGAAUCCAUCCUGAUUCAAUUCCUUGAUGAAAUCAGGUUUCAACCUUAUCAGCUCCUUCACAAAAUCAACAUGUCCAGAAAUAGAAGAUAUGUGUAAAGGGUUCUCUGCAGAAGCCAGUGCAGUAGUGUGGAGGAUAAGUGGAUUUUCUCUCAGAAGUUGGUGCAGGUCCUCAACAUUUCCAGCUUGGGCAGCAUCCAGCAACCUUCUGUCCAUUCUGCUGGCAAAAUCUAGAUGCAGGUGAAAGGAACAUGAUCUUCUUAAUUAGGUUGUUUAUUACACAAGAAAAGAUAGAAAGAUACCAGGUCUAAUACACCGAAUCUCAUCAAAACUUGGAGAGAACUAUGUUCUUCAAAUACUCAUAUAGGAAUGCACCAAACCUCAUAAAAACCCCACAGGACUAUCUUCUUAGAUUACUUGCAAGGAAAAAAUAGAAAAAAUACUGACACUAAGACACUGAAUCUUAUCAGAAUCCUUAUCAGAACUCCACAAUCAAGCUUGUUCAGACAAAGGGUAUUUGGGCAAAGUCAAGUUUGGGGUAUGUACACAUAGAUACCUUCCAAAAGUCAGCUUUGUUGCAUCACUUUUGAUAUAGACAAAUGAGUAUAAAUUUAUAUUAAAUGAAGUAAAGAAUGGAAGAAGAGAGUUUUGGUGGAAGAAGGAAAGUGAGGUCAACUUGUUUGAUUAUUUUAACUUAUCAGCAAACAGAGUCCUUCACAUACAAAUAAGCAUGAUUCAGGCAUGUAAGUGCAAAUUGAUUAUCAUAAAAAUCUGUUUAGGUGAUAGCCAGGUAUCGUAUUGAGGGUUGAGCUAGAUUAAUCCUUAUUUUGAAUUGCUUUAUUUGGUAUUCCUAGGCUGUCACUUCAUGUUUUAGGUGUUUCAGAAGCUUGUUGUCUAUUUAUUUUUCUGGUGUGAUCCCGUAACCUAUACAGUUCAAAGAUUCAGAUGCAAAAGGAAUUAUUGCAAUGAAUGUUCUUGAAGUUGAUUUUAUUAUUCAAAUUAAAAGUUCUUUUAAUAGUGGGAAUGAAAUAUAACAUAUAUAUAUAUUUUGGUUUUUGAAAACAUAAAAGAAAACAAAAAAUUUACCCAGAAAAUGUGUUUUAUGAUGUGUUCUUUUUAAAAUACUUUUUAUAAAGAUUUCCUGAAAGUGGAUCAUUUUCUAGAACAUGCCAAUUUCUACAAAAAUUGGACAAAUUGUGGGUUGGGCAUGGAUGGAAUUCAUCCUAUUAUAGAUUUGAAAAUCUUGUUUGAUGGCUCAUUCCACUCUUGCAAUCAACAGGAAACUCAAAGUUGUAGAAUAUUGGUUUGUGAUGCAUCUGCCUCUCAAAACCCUACUCCUUGGAGAUUGGUUCAGCAAUGUUUGGCUUUCAAAGCAAUGUCGAGUCUGCAUGAACAAUGAAGUGUAAAGGUUGUGGCCUUUAACAUGCAGAGGAUGCUCUUUUGCA